CUCAGGAUGAACGCUAGCUACAGGCUUAACACAUGCAAGUCGAGGGGAAACGGGCGCCAAGCUUGCUUGGCGCAGUCGUCGACCGGCGAAUGGGUGAGUAACGCGUAUCCAACCUGGCUUCAAGCAGGGAACAGGCUUUCGAAAGAAAGAUUAAUACCCUAUGUGGUCCUCGGAAGACAUCAGAGGAGGACGAAAGAUUCAUCGCUUGAAGAUGGGGAUGCGUCUGAUUAGGCAGUUGGCGGGACAAGGGCCCACCAAACCGACGAUCAGUAGGGGUUCUGAGAGGAAGGUCCCCCACAUUGGAACUGAGACACGGUCCAAACUCCUACGGGAGGCAGCAGUGAGGAAUAUUGGUCAAUGGGCGGAAGCCUGAACCAGCCAAGUAGCGUGCAGGAUGACGGCCCUAUGGGUUGUAAACUGCUUUUGAAGGGGAGUAAAGUGAGUGACUUGUCAUUCAUUGCAAGUACCCUUGGAAUAAGGACCGGCUAAUUCCGUGCCAGCAGCCGCGGUAAUACGGAAGGUCCGGGCGUUAUCCGGAUUUAUUGGGUUUAAAGGGAGCGUAGGCUGCCCGGCAAGCGUGCUGUGAAAUACAGUGGCCCAACCACUGGACUGCAGCGCGAACUGUCGGGCUUGAGGGCGCACGACGCAGGCGGAAUUUGUGGUGUAGCGGUGAAAUGCUUAGAUAUCACGAAGAACCCCGAUUGCGAAGGCAGCUUGCGGGAGCGCGACUGACGCUGAAGCUCGAAAGUGCGGGUAUCAAACAGGAUUAGAUACCCUGGUAGUCCGCACGGUAAACGAUGGAUGCCCGUUCUGCGGCCUUCGGGCCGCGGGACCAAGCGAAAGCAUUAAGCAUCCCACCUGGGG
Molecule: ribosomal RNA, 864 nt
Filed under: uncultured bacterium
Lineage: Bacteria
Description: bacterial SSU rRNA
Rfam family: Bacterial small subunit ribosomal RNA
Source: RNAcentral